This 433-nucleotide ribosomal RNA is filed under the name uncultured bacterium. RNAcentral describes it as "partial 16S ribosomal RNA". It matches the Rfam family "Bacterial small subunit ribosomal RNA", at positions 29 to 507 of the family's 1533-position model. The record is from RNAcentral.
AACGAACGCUGGCGGCAUGCCUAACACAUGCCAGUCGAACGAGACCUUCGGGUCUAGUGGCGCACGGGUGCGUAACGCGUGGGAACCUGCCCUUAGGUUCGGAAUAACUCCCCGAAAGGGGUGCUAAUACCGGAUAAUGUCUUCGGACCAAAGAUUUAUCGCCUUUGGAUGGGCCCGCGUUGGAUUAGCUAGUUGGUAGGGUAAAAGCCUACCAAGGCGACGAUCCAUAGCUGGUCUGAGAGGAUGAUCAGCCACACUGGGACUGAGACACGGCCCAGACUCCUACGGGAGGCAGCAGUGGGGAAUAUUGGACAAUGGGCGAAAGCCUGAUCCAGCAAUGCCGCGUGAGUGAUGAAGGCCUUAGGGUUGUAAAGCUCUUUUACCCGGGAUGAUAAUGACGGUACCGGGAGAAUAAGCUCCGGCUAACUCCGUG